GGCCUCCUGGUGCUUACCACAGGCUGUGUUCGACUCUGGGGACCAGAUACAUACAGGGAGAAACUGGGCUGUCUAGUAUUGAGGCAGAGUAAACUUACCCCGUAUACACCUCAGCUCAGGCUCUUUGCCUGGUCUGUAUUGUGAAUGGGGAGACAUUG
Molecule: small nucleolar RNA, 158 nt
Filed under: Myotis davidii
Lineage: Eukaryota; Metazoa; Chordata; Mammalia; Chiroptera; Vespertilionidae
Description: Small nucleolar RNA SNORA51
Rfam family: Small nucleolar RNA SNORA51
About the family: ACA51 is a member of the H/ACA class of snoRNA that guide the sites of modification of uridines to pseudouridines.
Source: Rfam by way of RNAcentral